RNAcentral lists this ribosomal RNA (312 nucleotides) under uncultured bacterium. RNAcentral describes it as "bacterial SSU rRNA". It matches the Rfam family "Bacterial small subunit ribosomal RNA", at positions 1082 to 1397 of the family's 1533-position model. The record is from RNAcentral.
UAGUCCGCACGAGCGCAACCCUCGUCCUUAGUUGCUAACAGUUCGGCUGAGAACUCUAAGGAGACUGCCUACGCAAGUAGGAGGAAGGUGAGGACGACGUCAAGUCAUCAUGGCCCUUACGUCCAGGGCUACACACGUGCUACAAUGGGGUAUACAAAGAGCAGCAAUACGGUGACGUGGAGCAAAUCUCAAAAAUAUCUCCCAGUUCGGAUUGUAGUCUGCAACUCGACUACAUGAAGUUGGAAUCGCUAGUAAUCGUAGAUCAGCUAUGCUACGGUGAAUACGUUCCCGGGUCUUGUACACACCGCCCGU